GACGAACGCUGGCGGCGUGCUUAACACAUGCAAGUCGAACGGAAAGGCCCUGCUUUUGUGGCGUGCUCGAGUGUCGAACGGAUGAGUAACACGUUAGUAACCUGCCCUUGACUUUGGGAUAACUUCAGGAAACUGGGGCUAAUACCGGAUAGGAGCUCCUGCGGCAUGGUGGGGGUUGGAAAGUUUCGGCGGUUGGGGAUGGGCUCGCGGCUUCUCAGGCUGUUGGUGGGGGAGUGUCUUACCACGGCUUUGACGGGUAGCAGGCCGGAGAGGGUGACCGGCAACAUUGGGACUGAGAUGAGGCCGCGAAUCCUACGGGAGGAAGCAGUGGGGAAGAAUGUACAGUAGGCGGAGGAAUGAUGAAGGAACGACGCGUGGGGGAUGACGACGGUCGGCUUGUCAUGCGCUUUUGCUUGCGAAGAAGAGAGAGUGACGGUAACGGGUAAAGAAGCACCGGCUAACUCCGUG
This 468-nucleotide ribosomal RNA is filed under the name uncultured bacterium. Its description in RNAcentral is "partial 16S ribosomal RNA". It matches the Rfam family "Bacterial small subunit ribosomal RNA", at positions 28 to 507 of the family's 1533-position model. The record is from RNAcentral.